UAACACCAUCUAAUAAUGCGGAAGUCAUAAUCAACUCAAAAUAAAACUCCAAAAUCGGGUAGUCACAUGUACAACCCUCUAAAGUAUUACAAUUGAUUCGAAAGAAAUAUAAGUCUCAAAUGACAUUGUUUUUAGAAUAGAACAAGAUCAUAAAUAGGAGUAAGAAGGUCCGCUGAGAUGACAAAAAACUACCUCACAAAUCUCCACAGGAAGCCUCGGAAAAGAAGAGAAUAAAAAGUAUCACGAAUAUCCGAGCUCGUAACCUACAAAAAUAUUGGAGCAAGGGGUGAGUACCAAACCACACGGUACUCAGCAAGUAAACUUCUAAACACAAGCUAAGGAAAUAGAUGGAUACUCCUUACACCCCAACCAAACCUCUACAACUACAACCUGCAUAAAAAUCAGUUCAAUCUAACAAUUCACAAUUUACAUAGCCCACAGCUCAACAACAACAAUCUAACAAUUACAUAUCCUCAGCAACAAGCUCAGUAUUCAUCAAUCACAAGUUCCAUAGAAGGCACUCACAAGAUCAACACACACAAGAUCAAGUUCACCAAUGAUAAAGAUGUGCAAGACAAUGUAAUGCAAUGUCAAAUAUAUAGUGAUGUAUGUCUGACCUAAUGAUACACACCCGCUGUCUCUCAGUCUGAGACCCAUGGGGGACAUAGUUGUCCAUGCAUCAGUUGCGACGUGUGACACGACCCUCGAUAAUAAAAUCCACCGCGGCGUGCGACACAUCCCUCGAUAAUAAAAUCCAUCGCAGCGUGCGACACGUCCCUCGAAAUAUAGUAUUUGUCGCAGUGCGCGACACGUCCCUCGAAAUGGUACAUCCUUUUUUUUUUUUAUUCUUCCUCAAUUCACAUAAAACUUGUCAUGACAACCAUAUCUCAGAACCAAUGCAAAUGACACGUUCACACAAAUAAUGCGGAGAUGACCAUUUUCAUAACAAUACACAAUUCACAAUAACACAAUAGUGAUACAACAUCAACAAUGAAUCAAUACGCCUUUCAAUCCAUUCUUAACACAUCACACACCAAUAAUUAAUCACAUCGCCUUUUGUUACCCUUUUCUCAUCAUUAGAAUUAUUCAAUAUAGACAAGUCACCCAUCACCAAGUCUCAUUAUGUCCCAACACAUACCACAAGGAAAUACACGAUUCUAUCCACUUAACAAGGGUUUAGAAAUCCAUUUGCCUCGAACAAUCAAACAAUUACUCCGGGACUUGAGUAUUCUCAUUUCAGUGAACUUCCAAACAAAUGCAAUAUAUUCACAUAAUAAUAACAAUAAGAUUUUGAAACUAACAACAUCCAUAUUACUAUAUUUCUAGCCUAGACCCAAAAACUCACUCAAAUCUAUAAUUAAGUUCCUAAUCUUGGCACCAAUUAAUAUGUCAACUUUUAUAUUUCUCAAAUUCAAGCAUUGGGUUAGGUCUUAAUUGCUCCAAAUAUCAUAAAUAUAAUAGACUUCAUGUAAUAUAAUACACUGAAUAUUUAAUUACCUAUCUCAAUAAAUCAUAACCUAAUUUAUAACGUGAUAAUAAUAAUAAGGAAAUUAACCAUUUACGAACCAUUAACUAAAACCAAAUCUGAAAACCUCCAAAAUACAUAUGCAUUUUUCUCUCUUCUGUUACUUCAACCAAAAAGGACCCUAAUCAUCACUUACCAUCAAUUCCUUACUACAACCACUUAACCCAUCAAUUUAUAUCACCCACGUUGCCUCUUUUCCAAUCCAAAUUCACGUGCAGUGAAUACUACACCCAUAAUCAUCUAAGCUUCCUCCAAUGGGCCCUAACUGUCACGUCACAAGUCUACACUCUGGACGUGGCCGACACUCGAGAACCAUUGUUGGUCCCCAAGCGAACCUUCAUCCUGGCUGACUACAAGCGAAAGACUAACUUAAGCAUACAAAAGCUUAAUAACUGAAUUAAGUUCAAUAAACUCAACUUUAAAAUAAUCUGAACAAUACUCAAUAUUAACUCAGAUUUUGUAAAAACAACUCAAAGAAGAUACAUACUGAAAACUACUCAACUUUGUCUAUCUAUGAAGCCUCUACUAUUACAGAAGUAUAUCGGGACAAGACCCACGACAUCUCAAAACUACUAACUGUAAGAUAAAAUGUGAAGUCCUCCAGAAUAUAAAAAGACUCACCAAAGCUGACUGGAACAUCCCAUGACCUCAACGAAAUACCUGUUGAUGAUCCUGAAUACUUGUAUCUACAUCAUGAAACGAUGCAGUUCAAAUGGCUCAGUAUAUGGAAUGUACGAGCAUGUAGGGGGGAUUUUAAAGCAUAAACAUAAGCUUGAACUGGUGGAAAAGAAACAUACUUACCUCCUCUCAACUCACUCAACUCAAAUAAAAGAAACAUAGUUCAACUCAACUCAGAGAAAAUAGGGCUCAACUCAAUAAUAAGAUAUUCACCUCAGUGAAAUAAGGCACAACUCAAUAAAAUAAGUUUUAAAACAAUUUGUUAAAAGACUUCUUAAAAUAGGGUUCAUGCCAAAUAUGGACGUGAACGGCUCAAUUCAAGGUUUUCAAUAACCAAGCAUAGAAUUCAAUACUUCAAACUCAACAACUCCAAAACUCAAGGAGUCAAUGAUACUACUCAUCUCAAAAAUGCUCGGGGGGAGGGGGGGUUCAUGCGGAAUUAUGGGCAUGAACAACUCAACUCAAGGACUUCAUGGGUAACAUGUAAUAGUCUCAUGAUUAGGUAUAUAAUCUCAAAAGGGUUAGGAACUCAAUACUCAAGACUUAGAACUUGAAGAUACUACUCCUCUCAAGGAUACUCAACUUAUGGGUUUCAUGCGGAAUUUAUGGGCAUGACCGACUCGACUACAUAACAAUAUGGAACUCAUGUAUAUGACUCUUCUCAUUCUCAUACUUACUUCCUCAAAACAUAGCUCAAAUCGAUAGUUGAUCUCAAAGGAUUCACAAUUGAACUCAAAGACUUUCUUGAACUCUACUCAUAACUCUCUCUUGAAUUUAUAUUAUGGAUUCAUGAGUUAUGAUUAAUGAUAUGAAGGAUCUCGUGAUGAUAAUGUAGACUCAUGAAUACAUUCUCCUCAUUCACAUACUCACUUACUCGAGUCUUGAAACAAGUUAUUAGAAAUUGUAGAAGACUCCUCAAAAAGACUCAAAGGGACUUUCUCAAAAUACUCGAAAGAACUCUCAAGACUUGACUCUUAACUCUACCUUGAAUUUGAAUUAUGGAUUCAAGGGUUCUGAUUUGUGAUAUGAAGGAUAUCGUGCUGAUUAAAUGAGUUUUAUAUAUUUAAUCAUAAGAAAUGGUCAAAAAAACAUUGUAUGGGAGCAAGUCUGCGACGCGGAGAUUAAUUAUAAUAUUUGGUCUCAAAAUAAUUUUUGAAACAGUGGAGUCCGCGUUCUCUCCGCGACACAGAGAGGGAAAUUUCACUCUGAACAAAGUCGCGGACCUAGUACCUUAUUUUAAGCUCGGUCUUUUCUUACUCGUUUUCUAAUCCCAAUUUACCUACAAUCGAAUGGUUUCUUUCCCAAACACUUAGAUUCGAAUACUCAACUUAUGUACACGAUAAUCUACUCCAAGCCACCCUCAAUUCACUAACUUUUAUCUCAAGAAUUCAUCAAACACAUUCUAAUUCAAGAAUGGAAACAAUACUUUCAAGAAACAAAUCAAGAACUCAAAUUCUUCAACUUCAAGAACGAAACUUCGCUGAAAAUAACAUGAAUGGCAUGUGGGUGAACGAACCCAACACUAUGAGAAACUCACAUACCUCUCAGGGAUCACAUCCAUGGCAAAAAUCCACAACAAAAUUCAAGAAUCUCGACGAACGGUUUGAUCAUUUCCUCUUUCCUCCUAGUUUCUCUUUUCUCUUCUUGAACUCUCAACUAAAACCCUAAGCGUAGAUUCGGAUUAUAAAACUGAACUAAAUCAGUUUAGACCCCUAAAACCUUACUAAAAAUGAAUUAAAUCUGCUUGGGUAAGGAAAAGACCAAAAUACCCCUCACUAUUUUUGGGUAACUUUCCUUAACUAGACAACCUGACUUCAAAAGGGCAUAUCUCACUCAUCCGAGCUCAAAGCUUAACCAUAUGGGGAUAUAAGACGUGGUAUGCAUGACCAAGAUAAAGUAUUGUAAAAAAACUUUAAAGAAGAAUCAUGAAUCAUGAACAUGGUCAAUGCAUCUUAUAAUCAUUAAUGGAAGCUUCAUAAAACCUUUCACUACAACAUUUUAGGCCUAGGGCCACACUAAUUCUGGACAACGCUUUUAAAGCGUAGCCCAAGUUUUUAACUUUUAGCUGCGAUAAUAUUGGCAACACUUGUAAAAUGUACUCUUUAAUGGUAUAAGCUACACUUUAUAAGCGUUAUUAAAGUAUGAUAUAAUUGGCAACAACUAUUUACAUAUAUGGCCACACUUUUAAAGUGACCUAUUUUUAUAAUUGUAAAAACAACACAUUACAAAUGUGGCCUUAAAAUUUUCACUAAAAUUUUAUAAUCCCUCCAACAUUUUUAACUCUCCCUCCCAUUUUUAUUGAGCAAAAAAAAUAUUUCAUAAAACAUUAAAAUUUUCUUUUCCCCCAAAUUAGAAUUGAAGAACUGAUCGAGCUGAAGAGCUCUUCUCUCGGUCAAACUUUCUCACAGAACAAGCAAAAAUUGUUGAAUCGCUGAAGAACAAGCAAAAAUCACUGAAGGUUUAUCAGGUAAGUCUUUUUUUCCCCAAAUCAGAAAAACUUUCCGUCAAUUUGAAGAACACGAUUUUCUCUCCAAGCUAAGUCUGAAGAACACGAUUUUCGUCAAACAUUCUCACAGAUUUCACGAUUUCACGUUGAAGAGCUGAAGAGCUACUCGCUAAAGAACACGAUUUCACGAUUUCUUAUUGAAGAGCAGAAGGUUAUGCCUCACAGAUGAACACACCUCACUAAAAUGCUUCACUUGAGAAGAUGGUGUCUUAAAGCUUCAUCACAUUGAAAGGAUUUUGGUGGAAUAGGGUUUAUCAGGUAAAAAAUUCUAUCUUUGAAAGUCUAAAUUUUAGCUUUAGGGUUUUGAUAUUCUUGUGUCUGCAAAUAUGAUUUUUGUUGAUUUUUGGGAGUCUAGCUCGUAGUUGUAUUACCCACAUCAGUUGAUUAAUCACUAAAUAAGUAUAAAUCAACAAGGAAAGCAUACAAAUCUGGGUGUUUGUGGGAAGUUGAUAAAUACUUGUUUGCAUUUUUUGGAGCAUAUGGUUGAAAGAAAUAUGAGGUGUUUUGAUGGGGUCUCAACUCCCAUAGAUUCUUUAAAGGCCAAACGUAAUGCUAGUUUAUUAAUCACUAAAUUAGUGUAAAUCUUAUAAGUAUUAUGUUUUUGUUGCUUCAACUUUAUUAGUUUCUGAAAUUGUUUAUCUAGUCAUGCUUUCCAUUUUAUUUAGAUUUUAGGGUGCAGUGAUUAAGUUAGCUUUGGAUAAUUUUGGAUAGAAAUGAAUGGCUAAGCAUUCUUCUGGAAACUGAUUACAAGUGUUAAAGAAUUGUGGACUUGUACGUGCGAAACUGACGAAGAAAUUUUCAAGUUGAGACCAUUGUGUAGAACUACAUAUAGAGGUACAAUUGGUCCUAGUUGCAAGGAUCGGGGAGGAUGUUUGAUUCUUUUCAACUUUUUCCUCCUGAAAGUAGUCAAACCCAAUUUUUCUAGAACAUAGCUUCAUUUGGCCAACUUGGUCAGCUGCUGGUAGGUGUAAAAUUGCUAUAGAAUGUCAGAGUUAUGACUCCAUUUAGAUAGGAAGUCAGCUGUACAGUUUGCCUCUCUAUAUAUGUGAUUGCACUUGAAGAUUUCCAGCUGAUUUGUGAGCCUUUGAAGGUCCUGAAUACACUGUUGGAGUGCCCAUGGAGGGUGGUUGCUGUGAUUUAGCCAAUGUAUAAGCAGUUGAGAAUCAACUUUCAGCUGAAUUUUCCUAUACCCAUGUUGUAUGCACCAGUCCACCCCAUGUAUUGUAGCUCAAAUCUCUGUCUGGUUAUUAGUUCCUAAGCCGAGAGGAAUAGAGAAUGCAUAGUUAAUGUAAAAAAUUUGGCUGCUUUACUUCUACUGUGAUUUCUACUUUUUAACUUUAUAAACUCUGACUACACUUACUGAUUCGUCCUUUGUUCGACUUCUGUGGAUUACAUCCCGCUGACUGUGAAGUUGUUGUGCUUCAUUUUUUCCCCUUUCGUUUGAUCUGUGGGCUCUGUGUGGAGUUUAUUUUGUCGGCCUACACUUGAUUGUUCAAUUUUAUUUUGUUGGCAUACACAUAAUUGUGUAAAUUUUGUUUUUGUUCUUGCUGUCAGCAAACUUAACAAAGUUUUAGCUGUUUUGCGAGUAGGAGUUAAGGUUCUUCUAUGUAGUAGUUAUGUGUAUUGGAUGGAGCUGAUAGAGUGAAGAAAGUUGAAUUCACACUUCACUCAGCCCAUUUUCCCCUCCAUAAGAACACACCAGCAAAUACAAUACCAAAAUUAAAUUUCAUGAAUAUCAUUAGCCCUAUUCCUAUCAAAUACUAUCUCUUUUGGCGAAUGCGAUACGCACCCAUUGACAUUGAAUUGGAUGAAUAUCACCAUCCUUAUCAUUAUCAAAUACUAUCUCUUUUGGCGAAUGUGAUACACACCCGUGGACAUUUAGUUGGUUUUACUAUAAAAAUGAAUACAUUGUGCAGUGGCAGUUGUUGUUCUUUACCAAUUUAAAAUAGAUAUACACAUUGAACAUGCAGGGCUAAUGAGUUCUAAAGAAAAGAAUGAUGACUCCCUCUCAACAAAAAGGUCUGCUGAGAUGAAACUUAGACGACGUGAAAUGGAUAGACUGGUUUCUGCAGAAAAGAGAGAGGCACAAUUACUACAACGUCAAACAAACAGUCAGGAGCUAAAAAGAAAUAUUAUAUCUGCAACAUCAGCUUUUCAUGUGCAAGAUCAUCCUGCUGCAAGUGUACAAGGCUGCUGCUCCACCUCUCAGAAUCCUCAUCAAAUGGACUUUUCUACUAUUCCCGCAGCAAAAGGUCAUGUCAAAAAACUUUUCUUAUUAACUUGGAAUUUAUACAUGUGGUGAUGAUGGAAUGACAAUAGAUAUUUAUAUUUGCAGGGUAUUUUUGAAGGAAAAACGUAAUGAAGAAUGUACAUAUUCUGUUUGGAAUUAAGCUGUAAGAUAGUCAUGUUAUGACUUAUUGAGUUCAUUACUUAAUUGAUGUAAGAUGGUACACUGCUGCUAACAAGAGAUAGAAGACACACAUAGAUACAUAUUAAUUAGGCGUCAUCACCUACAUUGACUCCUCCAAGUCAGAGUAAAAUUCUAGAAUCAUCAAAUCUGAAAAGCUUUGUUGGAAUUCAGGGUUUGAUUCUUUAGCAUCAUCAUUCUCUCUUUGAUCUGCUUUUACUAAAUUAUUUUCGAAUUUGUCAUUUACUUUUUAAAUUUUGUUUCUAUUAUGUGAAAUAGCUAUGAAAAUUGUUUAAUUAGCAUACACCUACUUUAAAAGUACUAAAAUUUAUGCUUAGAUAAUGUUAUGCAAUUUCAUAGUUUGUUGUCCAAUUUGAGAAAUGAAUUUUGAUUCACACUUGCACUACAUAAGGUGCAUGCAUUAUGAAAUAUUUAGGUAAUUCAGUAGUUCAAUCAUUGAAGAUGAUUUCAAGCAUAAUGUUAGCGUAAUUAAUUAGUUGUGCCUCUCUGAUUACUUGUAGCUCAAUUUAAUACUACCCAAUUUAAGGUUUCCAGUAAGAAACUUGAAUUGAACUUUAAACUCUGCUUCUUUUGGUGAUCAUUGAAGAUGAUUUCAAGCAUAAUGUUAGCGUAAUUAAUUAGUUGUGCCUCUCUGAUUACUUGUAGCUCAAUUUAAUACUACCCAAUUUAAGGUUUCCAGUAAAAAACUUGAAUUGAACUUUAAAUUCUGCUUCUUUUGGUAUUUCUGUCAUUGAACUCAAUUUCAGGUUCAUCUUUUCAUCUGAUUUAGUUUUGAGGAGUCAGUUGGUUGAAUUUGUUAAAGAUACAUCAUUUUGCCAUAACGUAGUUAACUAAUCAUGCUUCCUAUAAUUCUUGAUUUUGAUAAGUUGAUUAACUAUUUUCUCGGUAAACUUUAACUACAUACAAUUACCUCACUUUGCUCAAGCUAAUCAGGCUUCAUGCCAGGAAUAGAAGAACAUCUUGAAUUAACAGAAUUACAAUGCAAAACUGCUCCAGAGUAUAUGUGGUAAUAUACAAUUGCAAUUCACACCUAAUUAUUAUUAUGCUUCGUCAAAAAAGUUGUCUACCUUUAAUCGUUUCUGUUUCUCUUCAUUUUAAUCAAUUCAAAAUUAUUAGUCUCAUUUAUUUUCUUCUCUUAUAUAUACUUGUUAUAUAUACUUGCAUGUAGAUCUAACGCGUGUAUUCCCUUCAAAUCACGCUUUCAUCUUGGAUUUGAAAAGCAACAAACUCAUCAAAGACCCCUUCACCAUUUUCUCUGUUCCUUUUCGUCUCAUUUAUUCUUCUUCAAUUAUAACUGAUCUUUCUUGCUGAAACCUUUGCUUGAGCAGUAGAAAAUUUGGGGAAAAUUGGAAGCUUCCUCAGCUGUUUAACUUCAACUUUGCUCAGGUUAGUACUUUUUAGUCUCAUUUUGUUUGAUGCGAUAUCAGUUUCAUAACUCUUACAAGCUGAAAUGUUGCAUCUUUGUCCAGUAAACUCCAUUGUUUGACAACUUUUUUCCCUUUCUAGUUUUCUAUUUCAGCUAAGAUUUCUUCAUGUCUUUUUGGUUUCAUAUUGUAGUAUUUUGACUCUAGUAUAAUUACAAUCUCUUUAGUAUUAGUAUUAAUGUGUUGUGGCGUGGAGCUUCUGGAUUUAUCUCGUAUAUAGUUAUCAUUUUGAUUAAGUUAUCUGAACAUAAUUAUCACUUGAUUUCUUUGUUCAUCGUGAUUGAAUGAGUUUGUGUUGUAGCUGCCUUAGAAUUAGAUUUUGUUUUCUGUGGUUCAGCUACUGUUUAUCCCUGCUCUCUCUCUCUUUAUUUGAAGUUGUGAAAAAAUGCUAAAAAUCCCUCUCUUAUUCAUGUCUAAAAUGUCUGCAAAACAGUGGCAUACUUUGUUAAUUUUGUUUACUGCUUUGCUCAUGUUCAAAAUGUUCAGUUUCAUUCCAUUAAUAUAUGUGUCUACUACUGCCCUUUUCUUAGUGGUAUGAGACAUUGAUUCUGCAUUGUCAUUGUUUGUGGACUGCUAUGUGUUAGGAAGGAAAUUUGUUUUUGAAGGUGGUGGUUUACUUCAUUUUAAACUAGUUUUCGCCUUACUCCUUACUUUUUGAAUUUAGUUCUUGUUACCCUCAUAUAUGAAAUUUCAUAUUGCAUUUUAGACUUAAUAAUAUCAACUCCAAUAGUCUACUUCGUUUUUUGAUUGAUAAUCGCUUCCUUGUCAUUAUCUUUGUCUAAGUAAUUAUGUCCCAAAUCCACCUGAUUAAUUCACUCCCUCAACACCUGAUUGAAGACAUACGAGUCUACCAGAGCAUCUUCAGCUAUCUGUAAUAGGACAGUAAAGAAAACGGUGCUUGUUGCGUCUCUUCCCCCAUAAUACCUCUUCUCUAUAGGUUGUCGUGGGCUUAAAAGACAUGUUUUUCGCAACCAGCCAUCGACAGCUUGUUAACAUAGACACCUGCAUUUUAGUUUGGGGCUGGCUAUUUUAUUGAUUCACACCUCAGUAUUUGAACUGUAUUUUAGUUUGAAAAGUGCUAAACAAGACUUGUUAUGUGGAUGGGUAAUGAGACGUGAUGGUUUUCAACUCACUUCAUUAUGUAGCUUAUAAUUCACUAUAUAUACAUGGUUUAUGCAAGUUUAUCCAUCAAUUCUCAGUGUUAGUUGUUGACUCCAUCACUUUUAUCACUUAAAUGUAUGGCCUCACAUUUUUAACCUUACCAAUUGUUAUCUCUGUUGCCUUUGAAAUGCACUUUGGUUACAACUUAUGGGACCUCUAAGAAUAUCUUGAAUUUUUUCUCCUGCUGUCUUGUUCUUUGGUCUGAAGUGGACUACAAAAUUCUGAAAGUUUUUUUGCCGUUAAAUUUUAAUUUGUAAACUGUAAUCUGCAAUCUACAAUUUGGAACCUGCAAUCUUGAACUGUAUUCUGCAAUCUGGAAUCUGGAACUAUAAUCUGUAAUCUGCAAUAAUCUGGAAUUUGGAACUGUAAUUUGUAAUCUGCAAUCUGGAACCUGCAAUCUUGAACUGCAAUCUGAAAUCUGGAACCUGUAAUUUGGAACUCAUGUAAUCUGUAAUCUGCAAUAAUUUGGACUUUGGAACUGUAAUCUGGAACUCAAAAAAUCUGCAGUCUGCAAUCUGCAAUCUGGAACUGCUGCAAUCGGGAAUCUGGAACUUCUUGCCUCUUCUAUAACGUACUGCUGCAAUCUGAUUUGUUGUACUUUUAAAUGUGUAGGGAAAUGAAGGUGAUCAGAUUUGAAGGGUCGCCACAAGUCAAUUUGAUCUCAUUGAAGUUGAUGAAUAGUUUUUGAACUAUUGUAAAAGUUUGAAUACAUUAUGUUUGAUUUUGUGAAAUAUAUUCAUUGCUAGAAUAUAUUGAACUAUUGUAAGAGUACUUUCUGAACUAUUGUGUACACAUAUUUAGAAUAUUGAUUUAUAAGUAUGUGUAUGUGUACACAAGAUAUACUAUCUUUUGAAGUUUAUUGCAAAUCUAUAUAUUUGAAUUACUUAUGAGCCAAUUUAAUGCUUGAGAUUAUUUAUUGCAAAAUAAUAUUGGUGUUUUUUCAUUAGUUAAUUAGAAAUUGUGGCAUAUAAAUAUUUUAUAGCCAAAAUGAUAUGGCCACACUUAAAAGUGUAGCCAUAGGGCUAUAAAUUGUGGUAUGCACGUGGUCAAGGACUACACUUCAAAAUGUUGUCAUACACUAGAUGGAAAAGGCAACACUUUAAAAUCGUUGUCAUACAUUAAAUAGAAAAGGCAAAACUUUAAAAUCGUGGUCAAUAAGGAAGAAAAGGCCACACUUGAAAGUGUAGUUGUAUGAGAUAGAAAUGUUGCUAUUUGAGGUACAUAGAAGCGUUGCCAUUUAGCCUUUUAGGCUACGCUUUUAAGCGUAGCUGAUAAGGAAACACUUUUCAAGUGCUGCCUAAACUCUAAGGUAACGCUACUUUCGGGCACCCCUGGAAAAGUGUUGCUUAAAGUCCAAAAGUGUAGCCUUUUAUCAAAGGCCACACUUUUUGCUAGUUUAGGCAACAUCUUACUGGGGUGGCCGUAGGCCUAAAAUGGUGUAGUGUGACUUGAACGAAUUAUUUUUAGUUUUUUUUGGAACUCAAGGUGCAACAUCUAGUGACCUUAACACUCAAGAAAUUUUAAAUUCCUCAGUAAAAUCCUACUCACAAUGAAGGAUGGUUCGAGUAUUAGUUCAAAAAAAUUCUAGGGUGUUACAAUAUCUCCCCCUUAGGAUCAUUCGUCCUCGAAUGACGGCUGGACUGGUUAUGGAAUGGGUCUACUCUUAUUAUUUCUGCCAUUCCAACUAGAAUUGCCCGCAUUACUCUUCGAGACCAACUAAGGGCUUUAAUUUAGCUAUUUCUCAUAGCAAAACCUCAUCCUCCUCUUCCUUCACAUUUAUAACUUUAGAUGAAUUAAACACACCAUCACUAUCACGAUAAGAUCAUUAACCUUCCCUUUCUAACAUCACUACAUUACUAAAUGGACCUCUAAAAAGAUAUCCCCCAAACUCUUUGGAACUCAUUACUAACUUAUUCUCAAACACUUGACUUGAUUUCUCAUCUUGCCAUCUCCCCUUUAGGUCUAAAGCUAACACUUGAAAGUUAUGGACCUAUUCCAUCAUAUAUAAACUGGUCUACAUCCUCUUUUACUCUAACAAUCAGGAGAAGUUUAUCUCAUGCCUAUCGAACUCUCCAUAAGCAGGUACUAAGACCUCUCUCUAACGUGUUCCUCUUAACCUCUUCUGAUUACAUACCAUCUCGAUACACCUCUUAAUGCUCUUGUAACUCUUGUGACUUAGCCACACUUCAUUUCCCUUAUCUAAAGGUUAGGGUCUCUCACUUGUACCACUCAUAUUUAUUGCAGCUAACAUCUCAAUUUCUCACCUGCUCUAUGUUAAGUCUUCUAGAUCAAAUCCCAAGACUAACAUCAUCACUCUCAUGUUGCCAAUUUUUUGGUUAUGACACUUAUCUCAAAUUCAAGCUUAAUGUUUAUUACUAAACCUGAAUAUCAAUAUGAUUACUCGCCUACUAUACUAACUCGCCACUACUAUGCACAAUUUUAGAAACACUCGUUCACUAGGACCUUAUGACAAGUACUCAAUCCUUAUAUCUCUGUCUACAUACUCACAAAUUACCAUCACAUUCCACUUCACAACUUAAGUACUACUUACUCACUUACUGCGCAUUAUCUCUCAAAUAGUUCUAUCAUCCUCUAAAUAUCAUAGGGUUCUCCUUUCAAAAUUUAUAAGCCUAGCUUGGGUCUAUCACUUCAUUAGUACUCUACUAUUUGAUUCCACACCUAUAUUUAGUAUCCUCUAACACGAUGACACAUCGACCUCAACUCUUAUUCUGGUUAACAAUAUAACUUAUAUUGACUAGUAACUAUUCCUCUUUCUUCUAUCAAGAACUCUCUACAACCUUAUUAUUCUUUUUUUCUACUCAUAAAGGAACUCAUCACUUAUAAUUUACUAGGUACACGGUUGCAAUAACAUAAUUUGUCUCAUCACUAUCUCAUUCUCUUAGAUAAUUGAACCUCUGCAUACUUUCCUCUAAUUUUGGGUACUUUCACUACUACUGCUCAUGAUCUCGUAACUUAUGUUACCUUUUCGGGCAAAAAUACUACACAAGCUCUAAUCAGACUUCCUCAUAAGGAUCUUAGUUAUAACAAGGCUUAAGGAAAAGAGUACAACUCGCUUUUAGCUCAAACGCACGAUUCAUAUAAUUAUGGGUACAUUCCUCUAAAACUCAACACUUAACUCACUCAUGGGCUUCUCUCAAGCCCUUCUGGAGUCUCAUGACUUCCUCAAGACUCUUGUUAAGAAUAACUCAUCGAUAAAGGACUGGCUUUUCUAUUCAACCACCUCUAGUAUGAGGGGUAGUCGAAUGAAUCUGAGAAACGCACGAGUAUGAAUAAUCUCUAUGACUUAGCUCUAUUGAACGAUUAAGAGUAUGAAAGAAGGAAAACUUUUCUUAAAUGUCUGCAGUCCCUAAUUUAAAGAAGUGGAGCCCUCACAACCAUAAACAAGAUUGUACCGUCACAUCUUCAUAGACACCCUAGGACACCUGAACUCUGUGCUCUGAUACCAAGUUUUUCACGUAUCCGAGUCUACACCCUGGACGUGGCCGACACUCGAGAACCAUUGUCGAUCCCCAAGCGAACCUUCAUCCUUGCCGACUACAAGCAGAAGACUAACUUAAGCAUUCAAAAACUUAAAAACUGAAUUAAGUUCAAUAAACUCAACUUUAAAAUAAUCUAAACAAUACUCAAUAGUUAACUCAGAGAUUGUAAAAACAACUCAAAGAAGAUACAUACUGAAAACUACUCAACUUUAUCUAUCUAUGAAGCCUCUACUAUUAUAGAAGGAUAUCGGGACAAGACCCACAACAUCUCAAAACUACUAACUGUAAGAUAAAGGUAAAGUUCUUCGAAAUAUAAGAAGGCUCACCAAAGCUGAUUGGAACAUCCCAUGACCUCAACGAAACGCCUGCUGAUGAUCCUGAAUAUCUGUAUCUGCAUCAUGAAACGAUGCAGGCUAAAUGGCUAAGUACAUGGAAUAUAUGAGCAUGUAAGGGGAAUUCUAAAGCAUAAACAUAAGCUUGAAUUGGUGGAAAAGAAACAUACUUACCUCUUCUCAACUCAACUCAAAGAAACAUAAUUCAACUCAACUCAGAGAAAAUAGGGCUCAACUCAAUAAUAAGAUACUCAACUCAGUGAAAUAAGGCUUAACUCAAUAAUAAGAUACUCAACUCUGGAUACUCAACUUAAUAUAAAGCAACAAUACAGAUGCAAUAUAUGGAAAACUUUUAAAACAGUAGAAAGCAACUCAAUGUAUUGAAAAAUACAAUAGUAACUCAGUUUGUAUGCAAGGAUACAAGAUAAACUCUGCUUGUAUAUAAAAAUACAAAGUAAACUCUGUGUAUAUAAGAAUACAAAAAUAUCUCUAUGGAAGUUUCUCUAAUCGACAACCAUCACUAUGAAUUAUAUGAUGAUACAACGUCAAACCCACGCUUCCAGAGCCAUCCUAUACUUUGCCUGGGUAUAGAACCUACUACUAAGUGGAUCACUAGUCUAUGCUAAAAGCAUUAAGGAAUCAUCUAAAAAGUAUGACCCUUUCUACCCACAUUGGCUACAUGGUUUAUGAGGGUUGUGAGUUGUAUGAUCUCUCCCCCAUAUUGGUGCUCAAUACUACUCCCGAAAUAUACUUAGCUCAUUAUGUUUCAAAGAAAACAUUUCUNNNNNNNNNNNNNNNNNNNNNNNNNNNNNNNNNNNNNNNNNNNNNNNNNNNNNNNNNNNNNNNNNNNNNNNNNNNNNNNNNNNNNNNNNNNNNNNCUCAAAACUCUUUUGGAAAUCUCAGUUUCCUCUCAUCGUAAAUUUAAAAACAUUUACUCUUGGGAAUACUUAGUUCUCAUAUAUCAUUUUAAAGAAAAUGAACUCAGCUCUACUCUUCCUCAACUCAAUGCUCAAGUUUUUAAAACAAGUUUUAAAACAAUUUGUAAAAAGACUUUUUAAAAUAGGUUCAUGCCGAAUAUGGACGUGAACGACUCAAUUCAAGGUUUUCAAUAACCAUGCAUCGAAUUCAAUACUUCNNNNNNNNNNNNNNNNNNNNNNNNNNNNNNNNNNNNNNNNNNNNNNNNNNNNNNNNNNNNNNNNNNNNGGGUUCAUGCGGAAUUAUGGGCAUGAACAACUCAACUCAAAGACUUCAUGAGUAACAUAUAAUAGUAUCAUGAUUAGAUAUAUAAUCUCAAAAGGGUUAGGAACUCAAUACUCAAGACUUAGGAACUUGAAGAUACUACUCUUCUCAAGGAUACUCAACUUAUAGAGUUCAUGCGGAAUUUAUGGCAUGAACGACUCGACUCAAGGGUCUACAUAACAAUAUGGAACUCAUGUAUAUGACUGUUCUCAUUCUCAUACUUGCUUCCUUAAAACAUAGCUCAAAUCGAUAGUUGAUCUCAAAUGAUUCAUAAUUGAACUCAAAGACUUUCUUGAAUUCUACUCUUAACUCUCUCUCUUGAAUUUGAAUUAUGGAUUCAAGGAGUUUAUGAUUAAUGAUAUGAAGGAUCUCGUGAUGAUAAUGUAGACUCAUGAAUACAUUCUCCUCAUUCACAUACUCACUUACUCGAGUACUUGAAAACAAAAUUAAUUAGAAAUUGUAGAAGACUCUUCAAAAAGACUCAAAGGGACUUUCUCAAAAUACUCGAAAGAACUCUCAAGACAUGACUCUUAACUCUACCUUGAAUUUGAAUUAUGGAUUCAAGGGUUAUGAUUUGUGGUAUGAAGGAUAUCGUGAUGAUUAAAUGAGUUUUAGAUAGUUAAUAAGAAGAAAUGGUCAAAAAAACAUUAUAUGGGAGCAAGUAUGCGACGGAAAGAUUAAUUAUAAUAUUUGAUCACGAAAUAAUUUUUAAAACAUUGGAUUCCGCUUUCUCUCUGAGACGCGGAGAGGAAAAUUUCACUCUGAAGGAACAGGUUCGCGACGCGGACCUGGUACCUUAUUUUUUGCCUGAUCUUUUCUUACUCAUUUUCUAACCUCGAUUUGCCUAGAAUUGAAUGGUUUCUUUUCCAAGCACUUAGAUUCGAAUACUUAACUUAUGUACAUGAUAAUCUACUCCAAACCACCCUCAAUUCACUAACUUUAAUCUCAAGAAUUCAUUAAAAACAUCCUAAUUCAAGAACGGAAACAAUACUUUCAAGAAACAAAUCAAGAACUCAAAUUUUUUCAACUUCAAGAACGAAACUUCGUUGAAAAUAACAUGAUUGACGUAUGGGUGAACAAACCCAACACUAUGAAAAACUGACAUACCUCUUAGGGAUUAGACCCAUGGCGAAAAUCCGCAACAAAACUCAAGAAUCUCGACGAACAGUUUGAUCCUUUCCUCUUUUCUCUUAUUUUCUCUUCUCGAACUCUCAACUAAAACCCUAAGCAUAGAUUAGGAUUAUAAAACUGAACUAAACCAGUUUACACUUCUAAAACCUUACUAAGAAUGAAUUAAAUCUAAUUGGGUAAGGAAAAUACCAAAAUACCCCUCACUAUUUAUGGGUAACUUUCCUUAACUGGACAGUCUGACUUCAAAAGGGCAUAUCUCACUCAUCCGAGCUCGAAAGUUAGCAAACUCGGUGGUGUUGGUAAGAUAAUUCAAAGAACUUUCUUUUUAUAGUUUAUGGGUCACCUAACAAAUCGCGUACUGAAAGUUAUGGUCGUUUGAAGUUGACCCUAAACUUAAGUAACUUACGAAUAACUUGAACGAAUUCUCUUUAGUUGUUUUUAGAACUCAAUGUGCAACACAAGUAAACUUAACACUCAAGAAAUUUUAAAUUUCUCGGUAAAAUCUUACUCACCACAAAGGAUGGUUCGAGUCUUAGUUCAAAAAAUUUCUGGAAUGUUACACUAACGAUAGCCAUACAAUAUCACAUCUAUAUGCUAAUAAUAUUUUGCCUUAAUUAUCAAACCAACAUCUACGUAUAUCAGCAUAAAAAAAAUGGUUAAGGAUUUCUCCGUACCUGGAGGCCUUCUUUUCUUUGUUUCUCUUCGUGCACCUGUGUCGUUUGCACAAGUGUGGUUCUUUUCUUGCUUUUAAUUCUUUAUGGAAAAUAAUUAUGGACUACUAAAUAAAUAAAUAUUAAUUCCUAAUAAUUUCUUCAUAUACAUGGCCAUGUGGUAAGGGUAUUAAAUAAAUUAUGGAUUUGGCCCAAUAACCACCAAUUAAUAAAAAUUAAUUAUUUAAUAAAUAUACGUCGACUAAAUAACCACAGUUAAACUAAUCGUUUAAGAUUCUCAUUUAAAUUUUAUGAAAAGGUUCUUUUAUGAAAGAAAUAGAUCUAGUACUCAAACAGACUAAUGGAUCGUUACAUAAUUCACCACUAAAAACUAUGUCCGUCCUCGAGCAUAAAGAAGGAGAAGGAAGAAUAACUAACUUUACCAAAAGUCUGGCUUAUGAUCUUCCAAUCGGUGUUCAUCUCUCAAAGUGAGCUCCUCCUUAAGACCAUUCCAUCAAGAUUAACUACAAAGAAACAAAUGAUUAUCAGGCCACAUACUAACCCAUAAAGUCAAUCUAAACUGAAACCCACCCACUGGACCAUAACACAACCAUCAUAAUGAAUUUUUUUUCUCAUAUAACCAAGAUAACGUUCUGAAUCAAUAUUGGCUACAACUAGUAGUGAACGUGAACCAAUCACUACACACUCAUAAUGCACAAACCAUCACAGAUAUUAUCAAGAUUUCCUUUCCAUAACACAAUCUUUUCACGAGUUUAAGUUAUAAAAAUCUAAUCUUUAGAUAUCGGAUACUCAUCAAGGGAGAAUCAAUUUUUAUCUAACCCAAAGAAGAAAAUGAUUAAGUAAACACCCAACAAGCGAUACACUUCAAAAUUCAGAACCUCUAACAACACUCCUAGACAAUUGUAACUCAUUAUAGCUCUUAUAUAAGUUCUCAUAAGCGACGUUGUGCGUGUAAACUACUGGUAUACUUUAACUAUCCCAAACAACACCAAAUCUACCAUAAUUGAAAUAACCAAGUCUUUCCAAGGAUCCUACCCUAUCAAGAGGACAUAAGAGGAUCGGUACAUCCGAUCCACCACUAGGGAUUCACCCAUAAAUGUAGAAACACACGUGGACAUAUGCAAUGAAUCAUACUGCAAAUCAUGUCAGAAACGAAGUAGGUGAUCACAAAAGAAUGUACGGAACCAAGGUCAAAUAACACAAGAUACUCUUUUCAUAGUGUCCAUACCAAAUAUUUUCACUCAUUUGACUCCAUCUCUUUGAUUUUUAGCUACCCACAAUCCACCAGUCUUGUCCCCAAUACGAUCCUACUCAUACUCAAUGUAUCAUACCUCACAUACUUCUCAUAUUACUCCACUGAAGUCAACCAUCUUAAUACUAACAAAACAUCAUAACCACACUAGUCAUUUACCUUACUCUCAAACUUUCACUAGUAUCAAAGUCUUUUAAGCAACACAUUGUCGCCUUCAAAAAUUAUGAACCAUGGCUCCCUUUAUUUUCAUUUAAGCAUUCCAUGACAGAUAGGAGUCACACUUAAGACUGAUAGAACUAAUUCAAAAUCUAAAAGUAAUUUUCCAUCGAGGUAUAACAAUUGAAUCAUACCCAAAGUCAACUUCACACAAACUUUCACAUACAAUAUUUCAACUACUAUUCCAAACCAUCACAUAACUCAUUCUAAAACUCAUAGAAAUCCUUGGUCACUCAAAUAAUUAUGUAUAUUAUAAUCUCAUAACAUUUAUUUACCAUCCAAUGUCUAUGCAAUGCAUCACAAUAGUUUGUGUAGUCUCAUCAAUAGGGUAGUAUCAAUCUAACUCGAAAUCCUUAAUAAUCAUGUAGAAUUGUAUCAUAUCAUAUAGUGCAUCCACAAGUCAAUUAUAACACCCUGGAUCCAGAAAAGGGCAAAGCAACAGUUUUCAGGAAGUUGUAGGUGCCAAUUGAUGAUGGUCGACCACGGACCGUAGGUGUGGUAUGUGGUUGGUGUUGACAUCCUUCGAAAGGGCACAACGUCGCGAUGACUCACCAAAAAAUAAUAAACAAUUUAAAGAAUGAAAGAAUUUUAAAAAGGGUAAAGGGGUUUAGAGAGAGUCGCUACCUAAUUUUAGGAAAACUAGGAAACCAAUUAACUAACUUAAUAAAAAUGUCUACGAAACCAAAGAUUCUAGGUAAGGGAUUCAAGUUAUUCCGAAGGAAAGGUGUUAGGCAUCCUUCGAAAUCCACAAUUGUGGGUCCUGACUGAAUUCAUUUUUUCAAAUUGAGGAGGAGAUAAAAACAAAUAUACAAGUAUAAUAAGCAAGUGAUUUACACAAGUAAUAAAAUGAAACAAUAAUAUAAGAAACGGCCUAAAGCUUGACUAACAUCGAUAUAUACAAAAUAAUGAAUAAAGAAUAUAAUUCGAAUUUCAUUCGAAUAGCUUUAAUGGGAAGCAACUCUGUGUACAUGUAAAGACACAUAGUAAAAAUAUUAGUAAUAAAUAAACAUGAAUAAAAAUAAAUGAUCAAAGCAUAACUUAAAAGUAAAAACCCGUCUUAUUAACAUGGAAAGCCUUGAAAAUCAACGAUAAUUUCUUCAUCGACCAUUUUAACAAACAAAAUAUGAACAUAAACCAAAUUUCCGUCUUUUAACAUUGGAAAAACCUCCAAAAUCGAUAGAGAGAUUUUUCAUUGGUCAUUGUACAUACAACACAACACAAUAAACAAUAAUAGCAACAAAAUCUUAUAAUAUAGUAACUAAAUAUAAACCAACAAUAUAUGAACAGUAACAAAAUAUAAAAUUCAUUGGAACAAAUUUCCACACCAAAUCAUUAAACAAAGAAUAUGUAACAUUAUAAUGAUAAAAAAUAACGACAAAACAAUAGAUAACAUUCCAAAAAUAAUAAAGAAAUAACCAAAAUCCAAAUCACUGCAUAGCUCAUUUUAUAGUAUUAAAAAAACGUUAAUAAGAUAAUAAAUAAAAUUCAAGACUUGAGCAAAAGCAGAUAAAAAGCAAACUAAAAAUCAAAAUCAACAAAUUACAAUGUAAAAGAAGAAAUAAAAUAAUGAGAUAUUUAAAAUAACAAAAACAUAAACAACAACAAUAAAGUAUCUAAACUAACAAAUUUUAUCUUUGGACCAAAUCAUAAGAUAAUAGCACAUAACAAUAGCUGUAGCAACAUAAUUAAGGCAACAUAUCACGGAGAUAAAUAAAUCAAAAAAAUUGGCUAAAUAAAGCCAAGACACCCUGGAGAAGAUGAGAUUAACAAAAAAAUACCACUUAACACAGUAAAAAAAAAAAAAACUAUUCAACUCAACAAAAGCAUAACCAGCAUACAAGUCAAUAAUGAUUAAGAAUAAAGAGCAAAACAAAUCCAAGUAUUAAUUAAUAUUUAGAACAAAAUCAGACUGAGAGGGAACCUAACUGACGGAGUUCUCUUUGAGUCUCCAGAGUUUGCGUUGCGGCGGCGUGUGGUGCUCAUCGGUGGUGUUUGUUUAUUGCUCUGAUGGAGCUGAUUCGUCCCGCCUUUGAUGGGAGCUGUGGAUUUAUUGUUGUUGGCGACUAUUCGCCAGAGCUUAAAGCUCGUUACUGAGCGGUGAUGUUGCUUUUCGCCGGAAAAUGUGAGGAAUGGAGGCAGUUUUCUGGUUGUGGAGCUCGAUUUUGUUUUUGUUUGGUCGAGCUGGUAGUUAUUGGGCGGCUGUCAGCCGCGUGGGAGCUGCUGGUUCGCGCUGGACCUGCAAAAAUAACAGAAAAAUCGUGAAGGGAAAGGGGAAGGGGACUGGCGGCGUGGGAUCUGGUUUGGAGCUUGGAGUUUGAGCCGUUGUUUGGGGUUUUGGUAGCUGUUUGCAGGUUAGCUUUGGGUGGCGAUUUGGAGGUUGUUGUUGAUUCUGGUCGGGGUUUGGUUGGCCUGGCGGUUAUUUUGCUGGAAGAAGGAGAAAACAAAGGGGGAUUUUGGUCCGGUAGAUCUGUGGUUCGUUUCCGGUGGUAGCUGGUCGUUUGGAAAGAGCUGCUGGCGGCUUCCAGCAGCGAAGAAGAGAAGUUUUGGGUCUGGUGACGGCCAGAAAAAUGAGAAAAUGAACGGGGUUUUGGUGGUGGACUCAUCGGAAUUCGGCAGAGCUCCGGUGAACUUGGAAAAUAAUGAACAAUAAAAAAAUCUGAAAAUUACUCCUAAAAUCUUAUCCACCACCUUUUAAUUUAAUAAGCAAACUAUUCUUUAAAUAGGAAAUUGAAAACUAUCAAUAGUACAAUAUUACUAUCUUAAUAUCGUGGGCCAAAACCACCGGUUAAUAAAAUAUAUGUGUAUGAAAUAUUAUCUAUAUCAAAAUGAAUUUUUGGACUGUGCAAAAUAUCAAAAUGAAUAUUAACAAAUGUAACAGAUAAAAUGAAUAUGAAAAAAUGUAACAAACGUAACCAAUGACAUAUAAAAAUUGCAAUUUAACAGAAAUAAUGAUGUUAUAAAAAAUGAACAAAUAUUUGAACGUAUUUAACCGACUGUGACAAAAUAAUAUAAAAAGAAUUAACUGAUAAAAAUCCUAAUAUUUUGAGAAUAAGGAUAAUUAUUAACAAAUUGCAUUAAAAUGACAAAACAUGUAUUUUGAACUAUUUAAAAAAUAAAAUACUUAAAAAAUAUUAACUUUAGAAAUAUCAUACCAAAAUUUGGUGUCAACAACUUGCCUAUUUGUUUGAUUAGGAUCGAUGAAAGAGAUUCUGGUCAAACAAAGUUGACGAACCCAAAUUUAAUUUGAUAAACUUUGAACAAAACAAUAUGAGACGUUAGUAGAGAUUUUGAACAAUACUCUACAUCCGCCAAUGUGCUGAAAAUAAUAAAUAGAAGGCAAGGAUUAAUUGUAAACUGAACAACAUUCACAUACCUUCGAUGUUACUUUCAAAAUUGCACAAUGAAGGUAGUGUACCUCUUUGAAAGGAGGAUGAUGUGAAUAACAAGUCACUUUGAACGAGGUGACAACCCUACGCGUCUCUUUGAAAGGCGGAUGACACAAUUUGAACAUAACAUGUCACUUUGAACGAGGCAACAACCCAACAUGUCUCUUUGAAAGGUGGAUGACCCAACUUGAAUAUAACAUGUCACUUUGAACGAGGUGACAACCCAACGUGUCUCUUUGAAAGGCGGACAACACAACUUGAAUAUAACAUGUCACUUUGAACGAGGCGACAACCCAACGUGUCUCUUUGAAAGACGGACGACCCAACUUAAAGAUAACAUGUCACUUUGAACGAGGCGACAACCCAACGUGUCUCUUUGAAAGGCGGACGACCCAACUCAAAUAUAACAUGUCACUUUGAACGAGGUAACAACCCAACGUGUCUCUUCGAAAGGCGGACGAUCCAAUUUGAACAUAACAUGUCACUUUGAACGAGGUGACAACCCAACGUGUCUCUUUGAAAGGCGGACGACCCAACUUGAACAUAACAUGUCACUUUGAACUAGGCAACAACCCAACGUGUCUCUUUGAAAGGCGGACGACCCAACUCGAAUAUAACAUGUCACUUUGAACGAAGUGACAACCCAACGUGUCUCUUUGAAAGGCGGACGACCCAACUUGAAUAUAACAUGUCACUUUGAACGAUGUGACAACCCAACGUGUCUCUUUGAAAGGUGGACGGUCCAAUUUGAACAUAACAUGUCACUUUGAACGAGGUGACAACCCAACGUGUCUCUUUGAAAGGUGGACGGUCCAAUUUGAACAUAACAUGUCACUUUGAACGAGGUGACAACCCAACGUGUCUCUUUGAAAGGCGGACGACCUAAUUUGAAUAUAACAUGUCACUUUGAACGAGGUGACAAUCCAUCAUAUCUCUUUGAAAGGCGGACGAUCCAACUUUAACUUAACGUGCCAUUUUAAGGGAGAUGAUAACCCAAUCUUGAACUUAAUAUGAAUGGUGUAUCACAAUAUCUGCAAUAACAAUGUUAGUAACAAAUAUAACAUAAAUGCAACAUAAAUUAUGCAAACAUGGCCUCAUAUGAACAAGGUAUUAACCAAUGCAAUAAUUCAAACUUAAUAACAUCAUGAAUAAAAUAAAAAAAUGUCAAUUUGAAAUGGAAUAACAAAAUAAAAAGUGUCAAAUUGAAUGGCAUGACAAACCAAUUUUAAAAAACAUCAUUUUAUUUGAGAUAACAAAUUAAUUUUUUUUAAAUGUCAUUUUGAAAGGUAUGACGACCUAAAUUUAAAAAUAUGUCUUUUUAAAGGGUAUGACUACCCAAAUUUAAGAAAAUAUCAUUUUGAAGGAUAUGACGACCCAAAUUUAAAAAAAAUGUCAUUUUAAAGGGUAUGACAAUUCAAAAAUUUGGUGUCAACAGUUGGUCACCCCAGCCUUGACUCAGAAACCCAGAACCACGGCCUGACCAACGUACCGUCGAUCAAACCAUGGUUCGUGGUUCAUGACCCCAAAUUUCUAGUUUUUGAAUCGAACGACGGACCGACAGGAUGGGCUAUCGGUCAUACCACAAUCCAUUGGUCGAGAUCUGUAGGUCGCAGGGUCGGCAGUUAUUUAAGGGGUAGUUCAAACUUGUCCUAAUUAUCUUAUUCAUAUACUACGUCAUUUUGCCUAUGUCUAAGACCCUUAUAUAAGUGUUUUCAACCUCCAAAUUAGUUCAUUCAAAUCAUUCUUCCAAAAUUUACAAAAGAAGAUCAAAUCUCCUCCCCAAAAUAAUUCUCUCUCUAGAAACUUGAAGAAGAAGAAGAUUCAAGCUAGGGUUCAAGAUCAAGCUUUCAUUCUUCAAUUUCUUUGGGCUUUGAUAGUCAGGUAUGAUAGUUUUCAUUCAUGAAUUCUUUUUAAUAAUGGAGUUCCCAAAUUCUCCUAUUUUCAAAGGUAAAAAUUUCCAAUUGGGUUAGGGUUUUCUUUAAUUGAAAUGGGUUCUCUUCCAAGUUGAUUUAAAUGAUUGAAUUGUGUUCUAAUAUGCAUGAAUUGAUGAAAUACUAUGAUUUUUAUGAUGUUUCCCCAUGAACCCAUAUAAAUCUCAUGUUUUCCAAUUAUGAUGAUGUGAUGUGGGUUUGAAUUAUGAAAAAUGAAUUUAUAAAAAUAUGCAUGUCUUCUCUUUAUGAAAUAGAUGUAAAUGAAUUUGAAGAUGCUUAAGCUUUGAAAAGAUCAGCUUAUGAAUUAUUGAAAAGAAUGCAUGUUCAUGAAACUAUGUUUAUGACUCCAAAAAGCUUAUAGAUGAGAUUGUCUAUAUGUUCUAUGAAACUUGGACACAUGACAUGAAUGAUAUCUAUAUUUGCCCUCAAUGCUUUUCAGGCUAACAGGUUUUCUUCAGUUCCAUCCCCAAAAUCGAAAGAUUUCUCCGUGAAAUUCAUCACCAGGUAUGUGGGAUUUCACUGGUGGAUUCCUUUCAUCCACUAGGUCCCUAGAAUUCAGUUAGAAUCUUGAUUCCUAUAUCUUUCUUAGACCUAGGGUUUCUAAAAGCUUAGAUAUUAGUUGUGAUUUAGCUGUUAGAAUAUUCCUAAUCAGAUUAUCAUGUUUUCAUGGAAUAUUUGCUUAGUCCUAUGCAUGGAAUUCAUAACCCUAGUUGUGUAGAUUCUCUUAGUUCAUGAAUUACACAUUCUAGAUCAGUUAAAUAGAUAUACAUGCUUCAUUUUUUGAAUGUCACAUUAUCAGUAUAUAAUUGUUACAUUCUCAAAUUUUGCAUGUAAGUAUUUUGAGCUAUUCAGCAUAUCAGUAUUUCAGUCAUAAUGUGUCAUAUACUUAUACAGUUGGGAGUAGGCUUAGAACUUAGUGGACUAGGGUUUUAAUGUACCCUCAUAGUCCUAAAACUGUAUGCCCCGUAGGUUAAGUCCUCUCUGUAGGCAUCAGUUUCAAUGAUUACGCCAGUCAUGCCUUUAUACCCCUGGCAAGGUAUAUUGAACCCUUCGAUGUGGUGCAUACAUUGGACACCAUGGGUAACUCACGUGAUGGUUAUGUCGGUUACUAGUAGCUCCCACAGUCAGAUUCUAGUGCAUUUGGCCAGGUUUUUAGUUAUAUUUCAGUAUUCAGUCUCAACAUGUUAUGUACUUGGUCAUUGCAUUCAGUUAAGUUCUUCUCAGUAUAUUUCAGUAUUUCCAUCAUGCUCAGAUUAUAUCAUUGCUCAGUUAUGUUUUGUUCAGCUUAUAUGUUUUGUUCAGCUAUUAUCCUAUCAUGCAUGCUCAGUACUGUAACACCCCGUAGCCGAAAGAGGGAAGCUUAACGGAUUUUAGAAUUUCCAGGUGUCACCCACGAGGGCCAACCACUCCCCGUGGUUGGAUCCAUGCCCCGUAGGUCAGUCCGUAGGUGGAUACCAUGGACACUACCUAAGGUAGACCCAUGUCAGGAACCACGCUUCGUGGAUGGGUCCACGCCUCGUGGUUAGAGGUGUCGUGGGUGGCCAUCAUAGUUUCUGACAACCAACCGCGAUUGACCAGGACGAACCUCCAUCCACGGCCCGUCAACGUGGUCUCGUGGGUCAGGCCUGGUCGAGUAAUUAAGGGGUACAAUGGGACUUCCCGGAUUUAAUUAGAAUUAAGUGGUGUCGUUUUACCCUAGAUUAAACCACCUAUAUAAGUACUUUAGACCCCUAAAUUAAGUCAUUCUUUCAAACUCACCAAAAGAAUUGGGUUCCUCUCUCUCAAAUAAUUCUCUUUUUAGAAAGUUGAAGAAGAGGAAGAGGGUCAAACUAGGUCAAGUCAAGUCUCCAUUCUUCCAAGCUUGGUAGGCUUUGUAAUCAAGGUAUGAUGGUUUAUUCAUCCAAGGAGCCCCAUGAUUUUCCCAAUUUAGAAGAAGAAUUCCCCAAGUCUAAUUAGGGUUUCUUAUAAUGUUAUGGGUUAUGCUCCAAUUGAGUGGAUUAGGGUUGUUUAUGAUUGUUUAUGAUGGAAUUACAUGUUUUUUGUAUGAUUGUACAUGUAUACAUGCUUAACCUAUGAUUCUUAGGUGAAUUUGAUAUAGAUAGGUUUUAUGCGAUGAAAGGGGAAAUUGAGGGUUUAGAUGUAAUCUUCUAGGAUUGAUGAUAUACAUUAUAGAUUGCUUGAGAUUGAAGCUUAUAGAAAUGAAUUGAUUAAGAGUAAAAAUGUCACAUCCCGAGCCUACACCAUGGGUGGGACUGGCACUCGAGGACCAUUGUUGGCCCCAAGCGAACCCUUGGCAUGGCUAGUUACUCAGCGGAAGACUUAACUCAUGAAGAAAAAUACUUUUAAAAGUGAACUGAACUGCUCAAUAAACACUUAUAAUGUAUCAAGAUAACAUUCGCUAGCCAAAAAUGGCAACUCAAGUCUCAAUCAUUAAAAUAGGAAAUAAAAACUCAAGAACAAACAUCUGACUGUCUAUGAAGCCUCUAAACAACCGAGAUGUAUGUCGGGACAAAACCCACGACAUCCUAAUGAACUAAUAAUAAUACUGAAAGUAAUAAAAGGUAUCCUCCAGAAAGCAAGGACGCUCACCACAAGACUCUGAGUGCUCAACUUGAUCAACGAUGCGCUUGAUGCUGAUCCUGGUUACCUAUGUCUGCAUCAUAAGAAGAUACAGACCAAAUGGCAUCAGUACAUUGAAUGUACGAGUAUGCGAGGGAAAUUCUAAAACAAGACAUAAGCUUGAAAGGAACUGAAGAACUUACCUGGCUCAACUCAACUCAACAUAACUGAACUCAUUUCAAUAUAAAACAGUUUAAAACAAGUGCAAUAUAAAGAAAAGUUGUUUAAAACAUGGAUGCCAAUUCUGUGUGUAUGGAAAGAUACAAUAUAACUCUGAAAUGUAUAUAAAAAUACAUAUAAUAAACUAUGUAUAUAAGAAUACAAAUACUUAUGUGGGAGUUUCUCUAACUCUGAGAUGUAUGUAAAAAUACAAAUAAACUGUGUAUAUAAGAAUACAAUUACUUAUGUGGGAGUUUCUUUAACCGACAACCAUCAUUUAAGAGCUAUUGUGAUGAUACAACAUUUUGCUUCACGUUGCCAGGGCCGUCCUAUACUUUGCCGAGGGUAUAGAACCUGAACUACUAAGUGGAUCCACUAGUCUAUGCUUAAAAGCACUAAGGAAUCAUCUAAAAAGUAAUGACCCUUUUCUACCCAUGGUGGCUACAUGGUUUAUGGGGGCGUGUGAGUUGUCUGAACUCUCCCCUACUAUCGGUGCUCAAUACUACUCCCAAAAUAUGAUACUAGCUCUUAUGUUUAAAAAUAUAAAUUAUUUCUAUGGUUUGAGAUAAUUGCUCAAAACUUAGCUCAAAGGCUCUUCUUGGAAAUCAAAGUUUCCUCUCUUGCUUAAUUGUGAAAGCAUUUACUCCUUACUGAAAAAUUAGCUCAAAGGUUGUUUACUGAAAUAUUAGCUCAAAGGCUCUUUUGGAAAUCAAAGUUUCCUUUCUUGCUUAAAUGUGAAAACAUUUUAAACUCUUUCGGAAUACAUAGUCCCAUAUACUCUUUUAAGAAAUGAACUUCAACAUUUACUCAACUCAAAACUCAAAUCUUAAAACAAAGUUAAAACGUUUGUAAAAGACUUUUGGAAAACUCUUAACUUCUCUUGACUUGACUCUUAACUUCUCUUGAAUUGAAUUUAUGGAUUCAAGGAUUGUGAUUUGUGAUAGGAAAGAUCGCAUGAUGUUUAGGAGUGUUUAUAGAUAGUUAAACAUGAGAAAAUAUCAAGAAAUCACUAUCAGGAAGUAAGUCCGCGACGCGGAGAUGCAUUUAAUUAUUUGGUCGCAAAAUAAAUUUUGAGGUAGAACAGUCCGUAACUACUCCGCGACGCGGAGAAAAAUUGUCAAUUCUGAAGAACAGGUCCGUGACGCAGACCUGAUACCAGAUUUGCCCGACUUGUUCCUUCUUCGUUUUCUAACCCCAAUCACCUAAACUUGGUUCUUUUUCUCAAAUUCCCUUUAGAUUCAGAUACCCAGUAUGUAUACACAAUAAUCUAACUUAAACAACUCAAGGAAAAAACAUUUUAACCUCAAGGAACUCCUCAAUCAUAACCUAACUCAAGAACGAAGGCCAAUUUCAAGAACACCAUUCAAGAUUCAUCAACUUUCAACUUUCUAGAACGAAUUUCAUUGAAAUAAACAUGAUUGAUGUGUGGGUGAACAAAUCCAACACUAUGAAAGACUCACAUACCUCGUGGGGAUCACCCCUUGACGAAAGCCACGAUCCUAGCUUCGAGAAUUUGACGAUUCUUGCUUUUUCUCCUCAUUUCUCUUCUUCUUUUCUUUUCUCUAAAACCCUAACUCAAUAUUGUAAAAGCGUAAACUAAAUCCUAUCAGUUCAGUCCCCAAUUAAUUACCAAAAAACGAAAUUAAGUCAUGGGAUAUGGAAAAGACCAUAAUGCCCUUUUAAAAUCCGGAUUAGACUUUCCUUAUUUGAACAACCCAACUUCAAAUGGGCAUAUCUCACUCAUACAAACUCGGAAUCGCGCAAAUUUGGUAGAGUUGGAAAGAUUAUUCCAAGAUAUUUCCUACGAUAUUUGGAAACACACCUAACUCGAAAUCGCGCAAUUUUUAACUUCUUUCUAGUUACGGGGUGUUACAAUAUCUCCCCCUUGAAAACAUUCAUCCUCGAAUGAGUUUACUCUUAUUAGGCUAAGAGUGUAACAGGAAACAUGCAGUUCAAACACCCAACAAGCAUAAUGCAAUUACAAUAUGCCAACUUAUAAAUAAAAUGCCAAGAAAGGAUUAGUACCUUAAUUUGGAACUUCUCCGGAUUCGAAGAGAUGUGGAUAUCUCUUCUUCAUAUCCUCCUCAUCUUCCCAAGUGGCUUCCUCAACAAACCGAUUCCUCCAAAGAACUUUGAUUGAUGCUACCUCUUUUGUUCUCAACUUGCGAACUUGGCGAUCGAGAAUCUGAACCGAAAUCUCUUCAUAAGAUAAGCUAUCCUGGAUCCCAAUAUUUUCAGUUGGUAUAAUCAAUGAAGGAUCGCCCAUGAACUUCUUCAACAUGGAGAUGUGAAAAACCGGAUGAACUGCGGCUAACUCUUGUGGUAGCUCCAACUCAUAAGCUACAUUACCCAUCCUUUUGGAUAUUUUGUAAGGGCCAAUAUACCGGGGACUAAGUUUCCUCUUCCUACCAAAUCUCAUAACACCUUUCAUGGGUAAAACUUUCAAGUAUACCCAAUCAUCUACUUCAAACUCUAACUCCCUUCUCUUAACAUCAGUGUAGGAUUUCUGACGACUCUGCAUUGUUUUCAACCUCUCUUGAAUCACUUUCACCUUCCCCAUAGCUUGAUGCACUAAAUCUAGUCCUAUCAACCCUACUUCACCAACUUCAAACCAUCCAAUAGGAGAUCUGCAUCUUCUCCCAUAACAAGCCUCAUAAGGAGCCAUUUGGAUGCUAGAGUGGUAACUAUUGUUGUAAGAAAACUCAAUAAGGUGUAGGUGAUCAUCCCAAUUACCUUUGAAAUCAAUCACACAAGCUCUCAACAUAUCCUCUAAGGUCUGAAUAGUGCGCUCUGCUUGCCCAUCUGUCUGAGGAUGAAAGGCAUUACUUAAGUUCACCUUUGAACCCAAGCCUUUUUGGAAUGACUUCCAAAAUUGUGCAGUAAAUUGCGCACCUCUGUCUAAAAUAAUGGAGACUGGAACCCCAUGAAGUAUUACCACCUCUUGAAUAUACAACUUAGCGUAAUCUCCUGCUGAAUGUUGUAGUCUUUACCGACAGAAAAUGGGUUGAUUUUGUCAUUCUAUCGACAAUCACCCAAGUGGAAUCAUGUUGCCUGUGAGACCUUGGUAAACCUGUGAUGAAGUCCAUGUUGAUCAUAUCCUACUUACAUUCUGGAAGUUCUAUAUUCUGAGCCAUACCGCCUGGCCUUUGGUGCUCUACUUUAACUUGUUGGCAAUUCGUACACUUGGCCACAAACUCUGCAAUGCCCUUCUUCAUACUACUCCACCAAUAAACUUCUCUCAAAUCACGAUACAUCUUUGUGGAACCUAGAUGAAUGGAAUAUCUGGAGCUAUGAUCUUCCUCCAUGAUCCUUUCUUGGAGUUCAUCCACCCUUGGUAAACACAACCUACCUUGAUACCUCAACACACCAUCUCCCCCUUGUUCAAAAGCCAAUACUUUUUACUUAUGAACAUUUGCCUUCAAUUCAAAAAAAAUAGGAUCUUGGUCUUGUUUCUCUUUUACUUCUGACACUAAUGAUAAUUCAUCCCCAUUCAUCACCACCACUCCUCUAUCUGUGUAAUCCAUUAGUCGGAGUCCUAAGCGUGUCAGUCUAUGCACAUCUUUCGCUAACUCUCUCUUAUCUUCCUCAAAAUGGGAGGUACUACCCAUAGACAACCUGCUCAAGGCAUCAACAACAACAUUAGCCUUACCUGGGUGAUAAAGAAUACUCAUGUCAUAAUCCCUUGAGUAAUUCCAACCACCUCAUUUGUUUGAGAUUAAGCUCUUUCUGAGUAAACACAUAUUGAAAGGCGUCUUUGUGAAUCAGUGAACACAUCCACAUGAACACCAUAAAGAUAAUGGCGCCAUAUUUUCAAAGCAAAAACUACAGCAGCCAACUCUAGAUCAUGGGUUAGGUAGUUCUUCGCAUGAACUUUCAACUGUAUGGAGGCAUAAGCUAUAACCUUGUCAUUCUGCAUUAACACACAACCUAAACCAACUCUAGACGCAUCACAAUAUAAAACAAAACCUUGUGUCCUUCUGGUAAAGUCAAUACUGGGUAGUAGUCAACCUCUUUUUCAAUUCUUGAAAGCUUUUCUCACAAGCUUCAGACCAUUGAAAUUUCACUGUCUUCUGAGUUAACUUGGUCAAAGGGGAUGAAAUAGAUGAGAACCCCUCUACGAACCUUCAAUAAUAGCCAGCCAAACCCAAGAAACUCCUAAUAUCAGUUGUUAAUGUGGGUCUAGGACAAUUCUAUACUGCCUUAAUUUUCUGAGUAUCAAUUUUAAUUCCCUCUCCAGACACAAUGUGGCCUAAGAAUGCCACAGACUCAAGACAAAACUCACACUUAGAGAACUUGGCAUAUAACUCUCUAUCUUUUAGAGUCUGGAGAACUAUUCUGAGAUGGAUAACAUGAUCUUCCUUAUUUCUUGAAUAGAUUAGUAUGUCAUCAAUGAACACGAUAACAAACAUAUGUAAAUAUGGCUUGAAUACUCUAUUCAUAAGGUCCAUGAAUGUUGCAGGCGCAUUGGUCAAACCAAAGGACAUAACUAAGAACUUAUAAUGACCAUAACGGGUCCUGAAUGCUGUCUUUGGAAUAUCACAUUUCCUUACCCUCAACUGAUGGUAGCCAGAUCUGAGAUCUAUCUUAGAGAAAUAGGUGGCACCCUGAAGUUGAACGAAAAUAUCAUCAAUUCUCGGAAGAAGAUAUUUGUUCUUGAUGCUAACCUUGUUCAACUGACGGUAAUCUAUACACAUCUUAAGGGAACCAUCCUUCUUCCUCAUAAACAAGACCGGAGUGCCCCAAGGUGAGACACUUGGUAUAAUAGACCCCACUAGGUCCCUAGAAUUCAGUCAGAAUCUUGAUUCCAAUAUCUUGCUUAGACGUAGGGUUUCUAAAACUUUAGAUAUUAGUUGUGAUUUAGCUGUCAGAAUAUUCCUAAUCAGAUUAUCAUGUUUUCGUGGAAUCGUUGCUUAGUUCUUUGCAUAAAAUUCAGAACCCUAGUUGUGUAGAUUCUCUUAGUCCAUGAAUUACACAUGCUAGGUCAGUUAAACAGAUAUACAUGUUUCAGUUUUCGAAUGUCACAUUAUCAGUAUAUAAUUGUUACAUUCUCAAAUUUUGCAUAUCAGUAUUUUGAGCUAUUUAGCAUAUCAGUUUUCAGUCAUACUGUGUCAUAUACUUAUUCAUUUGGGAGUAGGCUUAGCACCGAGUGGACUAGGGUUUCAAUGUACCCUCAUAGUCCCAGAACUACGUGCCCCCGUAGGUUAAGUCCCAUAUAUGGGCAUCAGUUUUAGUGAUCACCCCAGUCAUGCCUUUAUACCCCUGGCAAGGUAUAUUGGGCCCUUCGAUGGGGUGUAUACAUUGGACACCACAAGUAGCUCACGUGGUGGUUAUGUCGGUUACUAGUAGCUCCCACAGUCAGAUUCUAGUGCAUAUGACCAGGUUUUCAGUUAUACUUCAGUAUUCAGUCUCAACAUGUUAUGUACUUGGUCAUUGCAUUCAGCUCAGUUCUUCUCAAUAUAUUUCAGUAUUUCCAUCAUGUUCAGAUUAUAUCAUAGCUCAGUUAUGUUUUAUUCAGCUUAUAUGUUUUGUUCAGCUAUUAUCUUAUCUUGCAUGCUCAGUACCUUCAAGUACUGGCGCAUACUCUGCGCUACAUCUUUUUGUGAUGUAGGUUCAUGUCCUGAGCAUUCAGAUCAUGCGUAGAUCAGUUCCCAAUCCAUAUUCAGCAGCUUCAGUGAUGAGUCCUCAUACUUCAAGGACAAUAGACAUGUUUUCAGAUUUAGUCUUUCAUUUCAGUUUCAGUUUUGCUAGGGUUAGCUGGGGACAUGUCCCAACAACUCUAGUUAGUUAGAGGCUUUUUCAGACAUAGUUUAGAGUCAACUUUAGUUUUUGAGUGAUUGUUCAGUAUUACUAAACUCUUAGAAUUUUACAUAUAUUCAGGUCAGUAUUGGGUAUUCCUCAUCAUUCAGUUAUCUCAUUAUUUAGCUUCCGCAUUAGUUAUCUUUUCUUAGAUAAGUUAAGUUUGCUUAUGAUAUGUCAGCUCAGGUUUAGCUUGGGGUCACUCAUGAUCCUUGGUCACAUGUUUACGCCCAAGGUGUAGCCUCAGGGAGUGACAAAAUCCAAUGGACUAACCCAAUUUCAUAUGCACUUUAUUACUAAAAUCCUCAAUUGCCUUCACACAAGUAUACUCAUGAAGACUUCCUUUAGCCAUAAGAUUGUCAUUUCGAUAUCGAUCCACUCCCUUAGAGCUUACGAUGAAAUCACUAGUCCUUAGUUAAAAUUCUCGAGAUACACUUUACAACCUAAACACAUUAAUAUCGUACAAAAAAUUCACCACAAAUUCUUCCUUAUAAACAAUCUUUAACUCAAGCGUCUAUAGUAACAAGCUAGUUUUUUUCUCAAAUAUGAAUGCAACAUCGAAUCUCAUUAUACGAGCAUGUGAUACAACUGAUAACCCUUAAGUAGGUAGUAUUCAUACUUGACAAUCGACGUAUCCAUUUCCAUAUACCACUCGUACCACAUUGUGAAUGUCUGUUAGAUGCAUCACAAGAAAACCUUAUACCUAUCGAAAAGAUUGUACCCAAAUAACCCACAUAUUUCUACCCGUUGAGUAGCUGCAAAACAUUAUCAAAUAUGUUCAGUCUCUUUCCCAAUCGAUAUGCAUUCUUUCUUAGAUCAGGUCGAUAGCAAAAGUAAAACACUCUAUAACUCUAACCAAAUAAGCAUCGAUACUAUUGCAGUAGUCGUAUAAUGAGCUUAUUUGAUAUACACACAUUCUAUAAAAUCAUAGUAGAUAUUCUGACCUCAAUUGACGCAACAUCAUUCUGAUCAUUCACUAAGUAAUCCAUACAUGUUAUGACAACUUUACUAACUGUAUUUUUCAAAGUUACAGUGUUCAUUAACUAGCCAUCCUUUUAAUCCUUCAACUUCCAAUUGUUGAACCACUCCACAUAUCGUAUAUACAAUACAAAUAUUGUUCCCGCUACUGGGUAACUAACCAGAAAAAGAUAAUACAUUCAUGAAGUCUCUCAGAACAUUGUUUAACCUCAUCAUUCAGAUAUCUUCAAAAUGCUUCGUCGAGCCAUUACGUAACCUAACCCCUUCGAGUCACCAAACAUUCUAAAUUUGACCACAUAUCAUUUCGAUAAGUCUAUCACUUCUAAACCAAAUCUAACCUCCAAGCCAUACAUGACACCAACUACUUGUACGAAGAAUCAUGCACAAGUGAUCACGAUAAGUGAGAGAGUGGAAUGAAGUGAUAGGGAAUCAAAUCGGACCGACGACGCAUGAUAGAGAUUCAAGAAGUGAAGCUUUUUCGUAAAAGUCACCAUAGUCUCUCGAAGAUAAGUACAGACGUCUCCAUACCGAUCCUUGAGACUAUUAGACUCGUCUUGUAUACACAUGAGACCUACGAACCUGGGCUCUAAUACCAUUUUGUCACGACCUAAAAAUGGACGUAAUGGCACUCGUCUUAUCCCACCAAGACAAGUCAUCCUAAAACCCAACUAAUACGAUGAAUGCGAAAGUAAAACAAGAAAAAGGGACUAACACCAUCUAAUAAUGUGGAAGUCAUAAUCAACUCAAAAUAAAACCUCAAAACUUGGUAGUCACGUGUACAAGCCUCUAAAGUAUUACAAUUGAUAAAUGACAGUGUUUCUAGAAUAGAACAAGCUCAUAAAUAGGAGUAAGAAACUCCGCAGAGAUGACAAACAGUUACCUCACAAAUCUCCACAGGAAGCCUCGGGAA
Molecule: long non-coding RNA, 33842 nt
Filed under: Solanum tuberosum (potato)
Lineage: Eukaryota; Viridiplantae; Streptophyta; Magnoliopsida; Solanales; Solanaceae
Description: long non-coding RNA (STUB_LNC008177)
Source: RNAcentral